This 486-nucleotide ribosomal RNA is filed under the name uncultured bacterium. RNAcentral describes it as "partial 16S ribosomal RNA". It matches the Rfam family "Bacterial small subunit ribosomal RNA", at positions 30 to 507 of the family's 1533-position model. The record is from RNAcentral.
AUUGAACGCUGGCGGCAUGCCUUACACAUGCAAGUCGAACGGCAGCACGGGUGCUUGCACCUGGUGGCGAGUGGCGAACGGGUGAGUAAUACAUCGGAACAUGUCCUGUAGUGGGGGAUAGCCCGGCGAAAGCCGGAUUAAUACCGCAUACGAUCUACGGAUGAAAGCGGGGGACCUUCGGGCCUCGCGCUGUAGGGUUGGCCGAUGGCUGAUUAGCUAGUUGGUGGGGUAAAGGCCUACCAAGGCGACGAUCAGUAGCUGGUCUGAGAGGACGACCAGCCACACUGGGACUGAGACACGGCCCAGACUCCUACGGGAGGCAGCAGUGGGGAAUUUUGGACAAUGGGCGAAAGCCUGAUCCAGCAAUGCCGCGUGUGUGAAGAAGGCCUUCGGGUUGUAAAGCACUUUUGUCCGGAAAGAAAUCCUUGGCCCUAAUACGGUCGGGGGAUGACGGUACCGGAAGAAUAAGCACCGGCUAACUACGUU